CUGCUACAGUAAGCUAGUGUUUUCUUCGUGCCUAGGACUUUCCUAUAAUAUUGUUCAUUAUGACUUAAGGGAGCACAAUGCCACAGGUGGAGCCAUAGGCGUGCGCACGCCUAUGGUUUGAGUCCUGCAGGAACAGUGUUCCUGCACUUUUUUUUGAGCAGGAACGCUGUUCUUGCAGGCACUCAGCUUCCCCUGUUUCACCUCUUGCCCCUGUCAUGGGGGGGCAAGAGGUGAUGGAUCCCCCCCCUCUCUGCAGCUCAGCUGCGGCGAGGGAGCUGUCUGCUCUCUGCUUCCUCUCGCCGCGCGCUGAUGCCGGG
This is a non-coding RNA of Pelobates cultripes (western spadefoot toad), 317 nucleotides long. The record is from the annotation of a GenBank genome assembly. Lineage: Eukaryota; Metazoa; Chordata; Amphibia; Anura; Pelobatidae.